AGUAAUAUGGGUCAUAUACAAGAUAAAUGGGAGAUAGAGCUCAGAGCCCAAGCAGGCUGGAUUCUUACACAAAACUGGGAUCCCAGAGGGUGAAAAUCCCAGUAGGUGAACUACAAAAAACACAUUCCAUGGAAGAAGAUAGUUGAUGAAGAAACUUGCUUGUCAUCCUUGACUUUAAUGGAAAGGAAGAAAAAACAUAAUGGUAAAUGUUUUCUUGGAGAAACCCAAAUUCAUCCAAAACCCCAGGCUGAAAAUUUGAAAAUUUGUUCUGGAUUGGUGAGAUACCCAGGGCUUGGAAAGAACAUAUUUAAAAAAAACUUGGCCUCCAAGAAUUCCACAGACAAAGUUCCAAGGGACAUGGGCUUCAUAAUCAACAUUCAACAAACACAUGAGGAAAUGAACUACCAUGAAAGAGAUUCAAUAUAAAUAACAAAUGCUUCAGAGACUAUAAUAACCUGUACUUACUCAAUAUGGAAUAUGAAAUAAAUAUGUUUAAUUUUUUUACAAAAUAAAACAGUAUUGGAAGUAUAAUGAGGGAACAAAAGGCUAUCAGAAUAACCUAAUCAGGUGUAAAAGAGAAACAAAUACUUCUAGAAAAUAAAAAUAUCUAAUCAUUAAAAUGAGCAACUGGAUGGAUGUGAUAAUAAAUUAGACACAGCUGAAGAAAGACUUAGUGGUCUGGAAGUAUUGCUGAAGAAUGAUCUAGAAUACAAUAGAAAGACAAAGAGAUGAAAGAGAUAGGAGAUAUAAAGGACAGAGUGAGGAGAUACAACCUACAUAUAAUUGAAAUCCCAAAGAAUGGCAGAGAGAAUGGAAAUAAUGACUGAAAAGUUUCCGGUCUUGAUGAGAGACUCUAGUCCCCAUUUUCGACAAGCCUAGUGAAUCCAAAACUGGAUAAAGGAAAAGAAGCCCGCAUUUUGUAGAAAAAUAGAAGAACACUGAAGACUAAGAGAGGAUCCUAAAAAUAGAGAGAAAAGAUAGAUUACUUACAAAGCAAUGAGCAUUUGGCCCACAGCUUAUAUUUCAACACAUCUACAGAAGUCAGAAGACUAUGGAAUAAUAGCUUUGAAGUGCUAAGUGAAAAUAUUAUGUAGAAUUCUACUUUCAUUAAAAUGAUCUCUUAAACGUGAAGGCAAAAUAAAGACAAUUAAAAAAUGUUUUAAAAACAAAAGUGAUACAAUUGACUCCCAAGACACACUUACUAAAGGAACUAAGAUAUAUACCAGGAAGAAGAAAAACACUCCCUAGACGUUUGAAGUACAAGAAUGAAAGGUGACAAAAGAAAAUGUCAUAUUCUCUAACUGAAGAAGCCCAAACUGACCCGAGUGGAGAAACCAAAUGGAGAGACUGCAUGCAGGUGUUUUGGCUGAUGGCCCAGUCCAAGCCUAUAGCCAGCGUCGACCACUGGACACGUGCGUGUCAGGAAGAAGUCGUUGAGAUGACUUUAUCCCUAGCCACCAUCUUACUGCAGCCUCAUGAACAACCUCAAACAUUACCCAGGAAAGACGCAUCUGCAGUUCUGAGCUCUUCAAACUGGGGACGUGUAGCAGUGUGCUAGGGUUUCUACAAAGCUGCAGGAAAACCACGGUUCAUCACUCUGGAGCAUCAAUUUUACUCAGUGGACCAUUGUGCUGUGAAUAAGCCUGGUCUAGUCUUCUUGAGGAUGGAAGAACACAUCAAGAGAGAGGCCCAGCCAACCCAGCCAUAUCAGCAGAGCCCAGGCCAGACUGCCAGCUGAAUGAAGCCACAGUGAGUGGCAGAAGAACCAUCCUACUAACUCAGAAAAUUAUGAGAAAUAAUAAAUUGCUAUUGUUUUAAGUCGCUA
Long non-coding RNA from Leopardus geoffroyi (Geoffroy's cat), 1825 nucleotides. RefSeq lists it as uncharacterized. Lineage: Eukaryota; Metazoa; Chordata; Mammalia; Carnivora; Felidae. The record is from RefSeq and is a predicted model, not a curated record. The transcript is spliced from 4 exons.